GGGGGGCUCAUGUUUACCUCUACACAUAGAUUCAUAUGGACGUAAUUGUCAAACAACAGUCAUUGGCAGUAGCGGAAUGGACGGGCGAGAUGCUCUUCUAGUUGGAACUAAGACGAACAGUUGCGUAUUGAAUAAAUUAAGCCUAAGGCAUGGUCUAUAUGAAUAUGUGGAUGAUAAGUUAUAAUUAAUCAAGCUCAGAAUUCAUACGCAUGUAAUCAAACAAGUGGACUUCCUUAUUUAAGUCCUAUAGGCAAGAUUUCUAAAUGACUCUUUUGGACUAUUUUUAGAUAGAUCAGUAGUUAUGUGACACUGGUUCUAGUUUAUAUGUCAUAUUGUCAUGAUCUCUAUGUGAAAUAUCAAGAGCACAGUUGGUAUUUUGAACAGUCGAAUCAGUUAAUAGAGUCCUAUAGGCAUGGUGCUAAGUGUUUUAAUUCUAACAUUAUCUCUAGGAGGAUAGACAAAUAUGCAAACAAGUUAACAAAGAGUUUUCCCUAUAGACAUGUCUUCUAGACAAGUUAUAAAUCAUAUUGGCAGCAUUGAAUUAACAGUUACUUAAGGUCAUAAAUCAUGAUUUCUAUGCGAAUAUGCAAACUUGAGGGUCCUAUAGGCAUGCUAUCUAUUAGCAGGCACUGCAAAUAGUUAGAACAUAGCAAACAUGUAGCAAGUACGAUAACUUAGACCCUAUAGGCAUGUUUUCUAUCCGUUUAUAUAAAAAUUAAAAUACACAACCCACCUUUUAACUAAAUUCCCUAUUAUUUGUUUUUACAAGUUAUUACGGGCUCAAAUAGAAAUAUUACAGGUUCAAUUACAAAUAAUAAUAACCAGUACCACAUCUCGGCCUUCAAGUAGGCUUAGAACUCCGUGUAGCAGGCGGGCCUAAACUCCAGGUGCUGUCAACAUACUUCAGACCCCAAUACCAAAAAUUGGCCCAACAGUCAUGCCUAAACAAUAGGAACAACUACUUUAUCUACCCAUUAUUAUUAACCACCAAAAGGAAUAUAAACAACACAAGUGACAGCCUAAACAAACCAAUUAUUCAAGUAACUUCCAAUUUUAGGUGGAAAUAUGCACAUCUUGUCCUUAAUGUUUCAACUAGCGAGAAUUUCUAAAUAACACCCCAAAGACACGUGAACAGGAACAUAUUUUGGAGAGCCUCAUAAGGAUUCUUCCAGGAAUAUAUGAAGGACAUGCAAAAUACAUAGGUCAAAUAAAAUAAACACAUAAGAUGGUUCACAACCAAUUCUGAGAGGAUGGUAAAUGACAGUUCAUGUGUACCAAUUUAUCAUGAGAGCCUAAGAUGAAACAUAGCUGGUAACGUAUUCAAGUAGAAGUUCUCACAUUAAUGACCUGACAUGAAACAUACAGUGACACAUGAUCAAGAACUAACUAUAAAAGAAUAGCAAUUCUGAUAGGGACAACCUAGCAUGAGAAUUUAAAGCAAGACAUGAUCCAGGACUAACUCUGAGAAAAUACCCAAAUAGAAGCUUUUACAAGAGAGAUUUUGUCGUGAAAAAGAACUGAAUUCAAAGCAUGGUCAAAAAGUAAUUUAGAGAAAUCAGCAGAUAGUAGUUCAUACAUGAAGAACUUAGCAUGAAACUCUUAAAGUAAAAUAUUUUCGAAACAAAUUCUGCGCAGAUAUUGAUCUUCACAAGAAGGUUUUAACAUAGAAAUCUAAAGCAAUGCAUGAAUAUGAACUCAUAACAGACAGAAAAAUACAAAGUCAGAGACAACAUAAGCAUAAUAAAUCAGGCAAAAACUAAGAAGGUCAGACAUCAUUCAAGUCAACUACACAUAAUGAGAAUAAACUAUAUGUUUUGAAGCCUAUCUUAAGGUCUUGGACUUAGGCAAAUUGAUAUUAGUGAGCAACGAAACUGCAGAACAUCACUUGAACCAUGAAACUACAGUGAAACAUGCAACGACAGUACAACACUAGAAAUUCACAAGUAGCAGAGAAACUGAGUCAUGUUUUCUUCAUGAAGGCUCAAACAAUAUUGACACAUAGAAUUCACAUAGAUAUGAUCAUAUUUAAGGGAAGUAUUUCAAAUUUAAGAGUCGAGAAUACUAACCAGUUGCAAGAUAAACGGGCAAAGAGUGAGAAAAUUUAGAGUUUCAGCGAUGGCUCAAACAACAGUGAUUGAAGGAGAAUAAUGAGAAUCUCAAAUCUCCUGGGCUUUAGAGUUCACAAAAGCCUCAAAAGGGGCUCCGAGCAGUGGUUGCACUGAAGGAGGUCAUUAGCAGCACCACAAUGCCCUUGGCUUUCAUCCGGCCACUGACUAAUUGAAUUCAAUAAUUUUAGAACAAAAUAGACCAAGUGCGAGUGAGAGAGAGUGAUUAAGGAUUGCCCUAAGGGGAAAUUUAGGCGGGUUUAUAUAACAUCCAAUUAAACAAAUAAUAAGAUAAAGAAAUUAGUCAUUCACAAAUAAGGAAAAGAAAAUCGCCUGCAACCAGUGACAGAGUCGGUAAAGGAAAUAGGUCGAUACCAAACCCUAGUUAGGGUCCAACGACUGUAAAUCAAAAUAGGGAUGCAAGAAUAUUCCCUUGUUGAAUUUAUAUAUAUGGAAUAUCAUCUGAAUCUUCAAAAAAUCAAAGUCAAUCGGCUUGAUUCUGAGAGACAAUACUUGCCAAAAUCAGGUAAGUACUAAGUAAUUUCUUGGUCGUGCAAAUAAUAACAGAGUAGCACAUAUAAUGUAACUAAAUCAUAGAGGGAUUCCAUGGUGUGGCUGGAUUUGGAGAGGACUUAGGGUUAGGUGGCUAGAGUUUCAUAGAAUAGAGGAGAGGAGUUGAGAGCGUGUAGAGGGG
This 2799-nucleotide long non-coding RNA is filed under the name Nicotiana tabacum (common tobacco). RNAcentral describes it as "long non-coding RNA (NTAB_LNC009416)". Lineage: Eukaryota; Viridiplantae; Streptophyta; Magnoliopsida; Solanales; Solanaceae. The record is from RNAcentral.